UACGUAGGGUGCAAGCGUUAAUCGGAAUUACUGGGCGUAAAGCGUGCGCAGGCGGUUUUGUAAGUCAGAUGUGAAAUCCCCGGGCUUAACCUGGGAACUGCGUUUGAAACUACAAGGCUAGAGUGUGGCAGAGGGGGGUGGAAUUCCACGUGUAGCAGUGAAAUGCGUAGAGAUGUGGAGGAACACCGGAUGGCGAAGGCAGCCCCCUGGGUUAACACUGACGCUCAAGGCACGGAAAGCGUGGGGAGCAAACAGG
Molecule: ribosomal RNA, 256 nt
Filed under: uncultured bacterium
Lineage: Bacteria
Description: partial 16S ribosomal RNA
Rfam family: Bacterial small subunit ribosomal RNA
Source: RNAcentral